This 400-nucleotide ribosomal RNA is filed under the name Salmonella enterica subsp. enterica serovar Legon. RNAcentral describes it as "bacterial LSU rRNA". It matches the Rfam family "Bacterial large subunit ribosomal RNA", at positions 690 to 1087 of the family's 2925-position model. Lineage: Bacteria; Pseudomonadati; Pseudomonadota; Gammaproteobacteria; Enterobacterales; Enterobacteriaceae. The record is from RNAcentral.
GGGCGUUAAGUUGCAGGGUAUAGACCCGAAACCCGGUGAUCUAGCCAUGGGCAGGUUGAAGGUUGGGUAACACUAACUGGAGGACCGAACCGACUAAUGUUGAAAAAUUAGCGGAUGACCUGUGGCUGGGGGUGAAAGGCCAAUCAAACCGGGAGAUAGCUGGUUCUCCCCGAAAGCUAUUUAGGUAGCGCCUCGUGAACUCAUCUCCGGGGGUAGAGCACUGUUUCGGCUAGGGGGCCAUCCCGGCUUACCAACCCGAUGCAAACUGCGAAUACCGGAGAAUGUUAUCACGGGAGACACACGGCGGGUGCUAACGUCCGUCGUGAAGAGGGAAACAACCCAGACCGCCAGCUAAGGUCCCAAAGUCAUGGUUAAGUGGGAAACGAUGUGGGAAGGCCCA